GCCCUGGGGAAGAUGUAAGAGGGAGGAGGCCAGGGAGAUCAGGGUUCUGCUGCAUUUGGUUCCUGCCCUGUGAGGUGGCUGCAUCCUAAAAAUCACCGACCCGCUCCAGGCUGCCAAACCCUACAAGAAUCUCUCCUUCCAGCUUCUGAGAAUAGUGGCUUAGCUUUUCUAAGAAAACUGAAGACAGCUCUGGCGAAGGGGUGAAUGGUGUUGUUGGUGGCACCCAGAAAUACUCAUCAAGUUUGUUCAUGGUCAAAGGGUGAGUCAAAGGUCGUCUUCACAAAACUUUUGCAAGAGCUACAUCACUCACCAUUGAACUUAGAUGACAUUUGAAUUCAGCCUAUUGCUGAAAAGUGGACUGGAAAGCUGA
This is a long non-coding RNA of Suricata suricatta (meerkat), 370 nucleotides long. RefSeq lists it as uncharacterized. The transcript has 3 exons. The record is from RefSeq and is a predicted model, not a curated record. NCBI's taxonomy places the organism in Eukaryota, Metazoa, Chordata, Mammalia, Carnivora, Herpestidae.